RNAcentral lists this ribosomal RNA (2592 nucleotides) under Triticum aestivum (bread wheat). RNAcentral describes it as "partial small subunit ribosomal RNA". Lineage: Eukaryota; Viridiplantae; Streptophyta; Magnoliopsida; Poales; Poaceae. The record is from RNAcentral.
GCGAGAGCCACGCCCAUUGGUCACCGCCCCGCACAAACCCUACCCUUUCCAGCGCUCCCAAAUUGAUGCAGCCGCCUCCCCUCUCCCUCCCUUCCUUCCCAAACGCGCCGGCCGCCUCCUCUCCACCUGCCGCCUCCCCUCUCCCUCCCUUCCUCCCCAAACGCGCCGGCCGCCUCCUCUCCACCUGCCAUACCGCGUCCCUGCUGGCGGUGGGAGGAUAUCCGGGGGAGCAGAGGAGGGGGUUGGAUGAGGGGUUAGGAGGUGCGAGGCGAGCAGGAGGUGGGGUUGCCGGAGGAGCACAGCCGCCAGAGCAGAGCAGAGGAGUUCGAUGCAGGGGCACAAUGGGAUUGUCGGAGAGCGCGCGGUAUCCUGCGAUACAUAUCCGCUCCCAAGCAAAGGAUGCAUCAGCGCUCGCUCCUCCUCUCCCCGACGCCACCGCUUUCCUGCGUCGUUGCUGUCGCCACGGCCUUGCUUGCCAUCGACCUCCCGGAGUGCUUCUCUCCACUGCAUUCCCCUUUGCACGAGUUCUUGCCUUCAAAGCUAAGAUGAAAUGGCUCUUCUCAUAUUUGCCUAUAAACUGUUUGAUGAAAUGCUUGUGUCGUAACGAGUUCUUUUUCUUCAGUUUGUUCUUCCUGCUGCUAAGUAUUAGUCCUCUUAUUGAUCUUGCCUGAUUUUCUCGUCGGUCUUGCAUUUGAAGCUCAGGGGUUGUGACUCUAUGAGGAUGUUGUUUAGUGUGAACUGCAACUUUUUUUGGUUGGUGGAGUUCCUCGAGCAUUGCUUAACUUGAAUGAUAAACUACUGAGCAAGUUGGCCUGAGAGCAGCGAGGUUACAGCUCCAGAUGGUUCUUGGUUGCAAUGGGGGGAGAUGCAGGGGAGGGUGAGGAGGCUAACGACAGGGUGAAGUAGCCCGGCGACGAGUGCAAGCAGCAUGAGGCAUUGUAUGGGAUUGAUCUAUCAUGCUGGGAUUAGUUGUAGACUUCCUUGCUGAACCAUACAGGGAGCAAUGCAUCCCCAGUUUGCUUCCAGAGAAGGAAGGGGAAGAGUUGAACCUGCUUGUUCUUCAUUGAUUCCUAAAUAAAUAUCUAAUCUGUAAUAUAUUUUUAUAUCUAUGCUCAGUUACAAUUACAACAUGGGGCUUCAAGUGUCUAUUACUGUGGAUCACCAAUAUUUUGUUAUAUCCGUGCAUUUUAGUUACGACUAAGUGCCACACCAAUGAAUGUGAAUGUCUGUUCAGGGUUUUCUUGUUGCUGCUAUUCCUCGUGGAUAUUCAAGAGGCAACUUGGCACCUAAUGUCAGCAACGUGCUUAUCGGUGACGAGGGAAAUGAAAGAAGGCUGCAAUGGAAUUUGUACUAGAUCAGAUUUUGGCCAUGUAGUUUCCGGUGACUGGAAGUCUAAAACUGAGGAUAGGACAGAUUGUUUUGAUUCCGAUUACUUGGAGAUCUUGUGGCUUGCUGUCCCUGGAUCAGUCAGACCUACGGCAGCAUCAACUCGUUGAUCCUAGAGGCCAUGGUUCUCGAGGUGAGUUGAGUUGCUACUUGGUUGGAGAUGUUGAUGUCGUUCGAGACGCCCGCUGGAUUCACCCUUUUCAAGGUUCUGAAUAAGGGCAAGCUCGACAAGGUCGAGUGGUACAGGUAUGAUCUUCAUGGAGCUAGCCAUCAUUGGAUUUGGUAAUACAUAAUCACUUAUUCAGAGAGCCCAAGGUGAGAAGGGAAGAGCAUCUAGAACACCACCACCUACUAAUCAGAGUUUCCUACCUUUCUUCUGCAAAUCUGGAAUGCCUUUAUGGCAUGAUCAUGUGAAAAAGUACCUUGAUGCAGUAAUGGAUUUGAUUAUCACUGGUUACUCUGUUUUCACGAAUUACUAUCCAACCAGCAUGGAAGAACCAAAAGGUAGUUGAUCAGCAGGAUGGCAAGAGGAAGACAAGAACCAAAUUAAAGUUUGUUGAUGUGCAUGUCUGUAUCUAUCAAGAUUCAGUGCUAUGUAGAAAUGUCCCUGAGAUUUGUUUCACUCAACGAGACCAAACAAUCAGGAACACAAGUAGGAUAGUUGAUGCUUUUUUCAUUUUUCUUCUGAUAAAAAGGAAUCUUCAUCUGCCAAGAAUACCGCCUACAAGCAUGUAUGCCUAAUUACCUAUAUGCUGAUUUAACAAGCUCACAUACAUGUCCAUUUUUGAAAAUAGUUUACCAUCCUCAAACAUAUAACUUGUGUGUUGUUGCUUUCCAUUAUAUUGAGAAAAACAUAAGUUUCAUUGGACCUUUUAUUCAUUCAGGAGCUCUAAAUGACACCGUUGUAUUGGCAACAUAUUCAGUCAUUUCGGAUCAUCUUUCAGAGUCAUUCUGGACUGUUCAUGCCAAAUUGUUGGUGUGUGCUGUAAAAAACUGAAAAAAAGGCAGUUCAUGUUUAUUUUUCUUCUGAAUUUUGUUCCCCUAUAAGAUGUGGCCUACUGUAUACUCUUGGCAUAAAUGAGUUGUGACAUUUGUUGUUGUCCACUAUUUUCUUUGCAAUUUCCCUGGUAUGUUGUCAACAAUUUGGCGUGAACAUUCCAGGUUUGUCAGAGACAAAUUCAUAAGGUUUGACAAUACAUGUUGGCC